UCCGGACACCGUCAGUCCAGCAAAAUUAAGACUGAGGUUUCUCAAAAAUAGGAUUGAGGUUUCUCAAAAAUUUUCACAAUUUGUAGCAAAUCCAGACAUAAACACAAUUGAACCUAUUCAGAUUAGUUCCAAAUCCUUAACCGAAGGAGUAGCAAACAAAAAUCUUUUUCCAAAUAGCAAACCUGGGAAGGGUGUGAACCAUCAUCCGGCCAGCCACCGCAGGCUGCGACGACCUCACCCUCUUUCUCUGCCCGUGCUAGCCUAUCUAUAUGCAAACCCCCCCUUUUUCAGCACCAUAUCCAAACCUUCACAUCGUAUAAUCAAAAAGCACACUCACUCAUAUGCACACAACACACUCAUCGUUCUCAAUCCCAGUAGAAGAAACAUCAAACAAUAGAAAACCAACCAAUAAAUCUGGCAUUCGAAAAACAUUUUCGUUCUCGUCCUCGACGACGGUGGUGAGAGUUGCCGACACUGGUGUAGAUUUUUGAUAUCUGAGGUAGAAGAAAGGAAACCCUUAAGUGGAGAGGAAGGAGAGCGACAUUGUGGUGCUGGUGAGGGCGGCGAUUCCGGCGAGAACAUCGGUGAGGGCAACGAUUCUGCGAUGAGGGCAACGAUUCCGCGAUGGUGUUCUUGACCGGUGAGGAGGAGGAGCGACGACCCGGUUCCGCGAAGAAUAAAGGACGAGAUGGCAAUCCGGCAUGAAGGGCGGUGGCUCUUCCGACGAAUGCGCCGGCGAAGCUGUGGACAGCCCCCUCGCAGCAGCCUUUUGAUCGGAGGUUGUGGCGGCAGUGGGUGCAGGAGUGGC
This 808-nucleotide long non-coding RNA is filed under the name Vigna radiata. Its description in RNAcentral is "long non-coding RNA (VRAD_LNC004084)". Lineage: Eukaryota; Viridiplantae; Streptophyta; Magnoliopsida; Fabales; Fabaceae. The record is from RNAcentral.